GAUGAAGAACGUAGCGAAAUGCGAUAAGUAAUGUGAAUUGCAGAAUUCCGUGAAUCACCGAAUCUUUGAACGCACAUUGCGCCCGCCAGUAUUCUGGCGGGCAUGCCUGUUCGAGCGUCAUUUCAACCAUCAAGCCCCCGGCUUGUGUUGGGGACCUGCGGCUGCCGCAGGCCCUGAAAUCCAGUGGCGGGCUCGCCGUAGCACCGAGCGUAGUAGCACACUUCUCGCUCCGGUAGCAGCGGCGGGCGCUUGCCGUAAAACCCCCCCUAAAAUCUCAAGGUUGACCUCGGAUCAGGUAGGAAUACCCGCUGAACUUAAGCAUAUCAAUAAGCGGAGGA
RNAcentral lists this unclassified non-coding RNA (338 nucleotides) under soil metagenome. Its description in RNAcentral is "partial contains 5.8S ribosomal RNA, internal transcribed spacer 2, and large subunit ribosomal RNA". The stretch from base 1 to 120 matches the Rfam family "5.8S ribosomal RNA", at positions 35 to 154 of the family's 154-position model. The record is from RNAcentral.